CUUCAUCAUUGAAAUACAUAUCUCUUGUCUCCAUUUUUACGAGUUUUUCACCUCUGUUGACCUUAACAUCAUUGGAUUCACUAAAUUUUCCAGGUUUGCAAUUUUUUUCCUUUUUUUAUUUUUUAUUUUUAUCUCAACAACCAUCUCAACAAAGCCAUCAUUUUGCAAAUCACCAUUUUUCGGCAUGUCACCUUUUUCAACAAUGCUUUUCUUCAUGGGUAAAUCCACGGCCAUGUUUGCUCUCUUUGUUUUUUCAUCAAGUUCCUCACUUUACAAAUCGGACAAAAUAUCAAUUACAAUAGGAUCAUUUUUCUCUACAACUCAUUUUCACCCUCGCAUUCCGAAUUCGAGUCCUUAGAAUCCCUAGCUUUUUUCUCCAAAGAGUUUUGACUCAAUCCCCAAUCUAAAACCCUAUUUUUCUUCAAAUUAACAAAUCCACUUCCUAAAGUUCCCUCACCCAGGUCAUCCGUUCCUACGCGCCUCCCUAUACAGCCAACUAGCCAAGUAUGACAGCCUUAGGCUCUCUCACCCCCCACAAUCAACGAUUUGGUCAUUUGUAUUGAUGAACGU
Molecule: long non-coding RNA, 570 nt
Filed under: Olea europaea subsp. europaea
Lineage: Eukaryota; Viridiplantae; Streptophyta; Magnoliopsida; Lamiales; Oleaceae
Source: RNAcentral